Bos taurus (domestic cattle) is the source of this 893-nucleotide long non-coding RNA. The record is from Ensembl. NCBI's taxonomy places the organism in Eukaryota, Metazoa, Chordata, Mammalia, Artiodactyla, Bovidae.
UUCCCAUUAUAUAUCUGUCAGGUGCCUCAGAGUCACCUGAUGUACUGAUUAAUAAUGGAGAUUCCUGGUUUGCAUGUAGGGAAAAAGAAGAACAUGUAAGGAACCCAAAAAAUCAAAGCAAGAAUAUCCAAAGACACAAUUUUCCUUUUUCAAAAAUUUGCCUAAGGUUUGUUUUGCAGGGAAAUGGACACCAUCUAGUUAAAGCUCUAUAAGCUUGAAGAUUCAGCAUACGUGCUAGCAAAGCAAGCGCCGAGACUAAAUUUUGAAGACUGAGCUGGAAAGACGAGCUUAUCUUCCGUUAUGAUUUUGUCAUGGCACCCACCACCGACCUCUUGGCGCUUCCGCAAGUUAGGAGUCUUCCCAGCUCAGCGUGCACACAAGUCACCCGGCAGGCCGCAGCCCUCCUCCGGCCCAAGGUUCACCGGAGCGGGUGUGCAGCGGGGCCGGGGUCUGCCUUCCCGGGCAUGCGGCAGUCUGCGUGGUGCUGCUGCUGCUGCUAAGUCGCUUCAGGCCUGUCCGACUCUGUGCGACCCCAUAGACGUCCGGCAGCCCACCGGGCUCCCCCGUCCCUGGGAUUCUCCAGGCAAGAACACUGGAGUGGGUUGCCGUUUCCUUCUCCAAUGCAUGAAAGUGAAAAGUGAAAGGGAAGUCGCUCAGUCCUGUCCAACGCUCAGCGACCCAAUGGACUGCAGCCCACCAGGCUCCUCCGUCCAUGGGAUUUUCCAGGCAAGAGUACUGGAGUGGGGUGCCAUUGCCUUCUCCGUAUAUAGUAGUGAGUGUUAAUCCUAAACUCCUAAUUUAUCCUCCAUUCCACCCAGGACACACAUUCUUACGUUUUACUGGAUUAAAACAAAAAUUUGUCAGUGAUGAUGUGGUUUUGUAGCAUCAUCUGC